UGGGGAAUAUUGGACAAUGGGCGGAAGCCUGAUCCAGCAACGCCGCGUGAGGGAUGACGGCCUUCGGGUUGUAAACCUCUUUCAGCACAGACGAAGCGCAAGUGACGGUAUGUGCAGAAGAAGGACCGGCCAACUACGUGCCAGCAGCCGCGGUAAUACGUAGGGUCCGAGCGUUGUCCGGAAUUAUUGGGCGUAAAGGGCUCGUAGGCGGUUUGUCGCGUCGGGAGUGAAAACACCGGGCUUAACUCGGUGCUUGCUUUCGAUACGGGCAGACUAGAGGCAUUCAGGGGGAGAACGGAAUUCCUGGUGUAGCGGUGAAAUGCGCAGAUAUCAGGAGGAACACCGGUGGCGAAGGCGGUUCUCUGGAAUGUCCUGACGCUGAGGAGCGAAAGUGUGGGGAGCGAACAGGAUUAGAUACCCUGGUAGUCCACACCGUAAAACGUUGGGCGCUAGGUGUGGGAUCCAAUUCCACGGGUUCCGUGCCGCAGCUAACGCAUUAAGCGCCCCCGCCUGGGGAGUACGGCCGCAAGGCUAAAACUUAAAUGAAUUGACGGGGUUAUAGCUGUUUCCU
This 571-nucleotide ribosomal RNA is filed under the name uncultured bacterium. RNAcentral describes it as "partial 16S ribosomal RNA". It matches the Rfam family "Bacterial small subunit ribosomal RNA", at positions 355 to 1375 of the family's 1533-position model. The record is from RNAcentral.